This 347-nucleotide long non-coding RNA is filed under the name Brassica napus (rape). Its description in RNAcentral is "long non-coding RNA (BNAP_LNC016917)". The record is from RNAcentral. Lineage: Eukaryota; Viridiplantae; Streptophyta; Magnoliopsida; Brassicales; Brassicaceae.
UGAAGUUUAAAAUUUAGAAAUAUAAAAUAACUAGAUUUCUUAGUUUUAAAAUGUUAAUAUAUUUAAGUUUUUUAGUUUCUUACAUUCUUAAAUUCUAAUUAAUAGUUUUAAAAUUUUUUUAAAAAAAUUACAUUCUUUUAAAACCUAACUAAAACCAAAACCCAUUUUUUAAAAAACCUAACUAAACCCUAAACCCAUUUCCCACCACAUAAUUAACCCAAAAAUUUUCCCUCCUAAACCCAAAACCCAUUUCCCUAUACACCCAAAAUUUUCCCUCUUAACUAAAGCCCAAUUUCUAUACUUAGCCAAAUUUUCCCCUCUAAACCUAAGAGUUUGUCGUGUCUCUC